CAGGAAAUGGUGUCAGGGCUGUAAACAGGCACAUGGAGGGGCCCUUAAAGGAGGUGGGCGGCCCGGCUGGGGGCCCCGGUGGGCUCCGGGGGGGUCCCGCACCCUGACGCCCAUGGCCGACGGCAGGGCUGAGCCGGGGGCUGCCCAGGGCCCCCGGCCCGAGGGGCAGCAGCGCUCGGGCGGCCGCCCCCGCUGCCCCGGCGCCCAGGACCCCGCGCGCGGCCCGGGACACGGCAGGGCCCUGCUGCGCGCCGAGGACGCCGCGGGCCGCAAGAGAGCCCGGCUCUGCCCCGGCGCCCGCACCGGCCGCCCGCCGGAGCCGCAGAGCCCCCGGGGGCCGCCGUGGGCCGGCCCGCAG
This is a long non-coding RNA of Rhea pennata, 358 nucleotides long. RefSeq lists it as uncharacterized. Lineage: Eukaryota; Metazoa; Chordata; Aves; Rheiformes; Rheidae. The transcript has 3 exons. The record is from RefSeq and is a predicted model, not a curated record.